RNAcentral lists this ribosomal RNA (258 nucleotides) under uncultured microorganism. RNAcentral describes it as "partial 16S ribosomal RNA". It matches the Rfam family "Archaeal small subunit ribosomal RNA", at positions 330 to 589 of the family's 1478-position model. The record is from RNAcentral.
GCGCAGCAGGCGAGAAUACUUUACAAUGUGCGAAAGCACGAUAAGGGAACUCUGAGUGCCUCCUAAAGGAGGCUGUUCAGGUGUCUAAAAAGCACUUGAAGGAAGGGCUGGGUAAGACCGGUGCCAGCCGCCGCGGUAACACCGGGCAGCCCAAGUGGUAGCCACGUUUAUUGGGUCUAAAGCGUCCGUAGCCGGGCUGGGUAAGUUCCUUGGGAAAUUUGGCUGCUUAACAGUCAAGCUUUUCAGGGAAUACUGCUC